This 492-nucleotide ribosomal RNA is filed under the name uncultured bacterium. RNAcentral's name for it is "partial 16S ribosomal RNA". It matches the Rfam family "Bacterial small subunit ribosomal RNA", at positions 29 to 507 of the family's 1533-position model. The record is from RNAcentral.
AGUGAACGCUGGCGGCGGGCCUAACACAUGCAAGUCGAACGGCAGCACAGUAUGAGCUUGCUGUUACGGGGGGCGAGGCGCGGGCGGGUGUGGUAUACCUCGGCAUCUACUGUUUCGGGGGGGAUCUCGUCGGGAGACUUACGAUUAUACCGUACACGACCUACGUGUGAAAGCAGGGGCUCAUCGGCUCUUGCGCGAUUGACUGAGGCGAUGUCGGAUUAGCUAGUUGGUGGGGUAAAGGCCCACCAAGGCGACGAUCCGUAGCUGGUCUGAGAGGAAGAUCAGCCACACUGGAACUGAGACACGGCCCAGACUCCUACGGGAGGCAGCAGUGGGGAAUAUUGGACAAUGGGCGCAAGCCUGAUCCAGCCAUGCCGCGUGGGUGAAGAAGGCCUUCGGGUUGUAAAGCACUUUUGUUGGGAAAGAAAAGCAGCAGGUUAAUACCUCGCUUUGCUGACGGUACCCAAAGAAUAAGCACCGGCUAACUACGUG